GUCAACGCCAUUGAGAACUAACGUCUAUACCCUGACAGUUAGGUGAAUUGUAAUAAUGUCAUAGAAGAGUUUAGUGUCGAUGCAGGACUUAAAGCUUUAAGUCCCGCCAUUAUUAUUAUUUAAAUCAUAAAGACGUCAAAUUAGUGAGAGCACCGUUGUCUAUAAUGUCAUAGACGUCAGUUGAAAAGCUUAACCGACAUCUAUAGAACUUUAUACUUAGAACGCGAACCCGCAAGCAGUUACCACUAUUCAUGUCUUCUUCCUCGCGCUUUUCUCUUGCGACAUUGCUUUCCAGUUUGUGGCAUGUUCUUGGGCGACAUUUUUGACCCUUUUGUGGCCUACAUUUCUUGGCGUGCAGUCCUCCAUUUCCCUCCAUUGCUGUUUUAAUCUACUAAAAAGGUAUGUCGACCUCAGACUCAACAUUAGGAUAGAGCAGACGUACACGAGGAGUGACACGUUUGCCAGAAGCGACAUCCGGACAGGUUCCUGGGCAGAGGAGACAUCUUGAGAUUGAUCCCAGAACUGGUGUGGCAUCAGGGCCAAAUGCUGAUAGAUUUAGUAGUUAUCUGGGUAAGAUAGCCAAAACCCAUGUAUCUAUCCUUCAUCCAACUUGGGAUGACGUCCCAGAGGUCGAGAAAAACCUCUUAUGGAAAGAUGUUCAGCUCAAAUAUGAUGUUCCAAACACACUGGACAUGAGGAAGAAAGUCUUAUCACAAAUAUGUAAGAAAUGGAGGGAUUUCAAGACAAGGCUGACACGUCUGUAUGUAUUUGGAAAAAGACAACAUGAGAAUCCAUCUCAGCAUUAUUCCUUAACAGAAGAAGAACGGACGCAAUUUCGUCAAUCUAGAGAAAUUGAGGAAUUGAAGCACAAAAGGUUAACCACCCAAGAAAGGUAAAGGCUAAAUGAUGCACCACAUGUGUUAUCACAAGGUGGUUAUGCGAAACUGGAGAAGAAACUUAGAAAGAGUCGAGCGGAUGAGUUGAGGCUUGAGUCCCCAGACCUAGCUCCACCUACAAGGUACGAGAUGUGGAAGGCUGCUCGGACGAAAUCAGAUGGGAACAUGACAUCUGCCUCAGCCGUAUUGAUCUCAUAGAGAAUUGAUGAGUUGGUGGAGCAACAGACACAGGGAACAUUUACUCCCCAAAGUAGGGAGGACAUAUUAACCAAGACCAUUGGAAAACCGGAGCACCCAGGACGUGUACGUGCAGUUCCUGGGUCGAUUGGUCUUUGUGACUACUUUGGCCCUAUAUAGAAAACAACUCAAUCAACGAAUCAGGAGGCAUUGAGGCAGAUGGAUCUUCAGUGGGAACAAAGAAUUCGUCAAAUGGAGCAACUAUUCAAUGAGCAGCUAGAAGAACAAAAACAAAUACAAAGAGUGCUUGAAGAGAAGCUGCAAUCCAUGACGUAGGGAACCCUGGGUGUGCCCACUAAAACUCCCACACCACCUCCUGCCAACACCAAAGGAUCCUGCUCUACUGUUGAACCUACUGACUUCAUUGGUUAGUAUGACUUGUUGGUUGAUGGGGAUCCCGCACGCAUUGUGACUGUCAGAUGAGUAGUUGAGGGAGGCUAGACUAUUCAUGGUGUUCCCAUAUCACCCCAGCACGUGCGUGUCAUGAUUGACGAGGGUCAGGAUCCCCAGGCUCAGGUGCCUGUACCCACUCUAGAAGUUCAAUUUGUGGGGGAGGCCAUACGAAGUUUUUUAGCCUGGCCUAGAACAUUGGUUAUCACACACAUUACUACACAACAUGUAUAAUAUUUUUAUCAUUACUAAUUAUAUAUUAUCAUUUAAAAAUAUUUGUUCAUAACUUUGAAAAUGUUAUUUCAGUUCACAUGUCCUCAAUAGCAGCCGAUGCAUGACGCACCAAUACCUGAAUAUGAUGAUGGUGAUGACAUGGCUGAAGCGGAGAAUGAUCCCAUAGCAAAACUAUUGUCAAACAUUCCCAGGUUCAACAAAGGAUCAAGACAAAUAUACUGGGAUUUAAUAGUAUUUGAUCUCCCCCCCCUCCAUAUGCCAGUAUAUAUCACAUUCAAUGAUGUAUCGGAGAUCAUUGC
This is a long non-coding RNA of Vigna radiata var. radiata (mung bean), 2056 nucleotides long. RefSeq lists it as uncharacterized. The transcript is spliced from 6 exons. The record is from RefSeq and is a predicted model, not a curated record. Lineage: Eukaryota; Viridiplantae; Streptophyta; Magnoliopsida; Fabales; Fabaceae.